Molecule: ribosomal RNA, 499 nt
Filed under: uncultured bacterium
Lineage: Bacteria
Description: partial 16S ribosomal RNA
Rfam family: Bacterial small subunit ribosomal RNA
Source: RNAcentral
GACGAACGCUGGCGGCGUGCCUAAUACAUGCAAGUCGAGCGAAGUUUUUCCGGUGCUUGCACCGGAAAAACUUAGCGGCGCACGGGUGAGUAACACGUAAAGAACCUGCCUCAUAGACUGGGACAACUAUUGGAAACGAUAGCUAAUACCGGAUAAUAGCAUUAACUGCAUGGUUGAUGUUUAAAAGUUGGUUUUGCUAACACUAUGAGAUGGCUUUGCGGUGCAUUAGCUAGUUGGUGGGGUAAAGGCCUACCAAGGCGACGAUGCAUAGCCGACCUGAGAGGGUGAUCGGCCACACUGGGACUGAGACACGGCCCAGACUCCUACGGGAGGCAGCAGUAGGGAAUCUUCCGCAAUGGGCGAAAGCCUGACGGAGCAACGCCGCGUGAGUGAAGAAGGAUUUCGGUUCGUAAAGCUCUGUUGUUAGGGAAGAAUGAUUGUGUAGUAACUAUACACAGUAGAGACGGUACCUAACCAGAAAGCCACGGCUAACUACGUG